CACUUUUAAACUUCUGCUCCAGGCUCUACUUUAGGAACAAGAAUGCUGCUGUGGGGGUUUUGAGAAGAGUGAGCAAAAUACACCUGUUCCGGUGCAGAAGCUGAGAGAGAGAGAAACCGAGACGCUCGCCCCAGGUUACCCCUGGUGGGCUGGCUGCUCCUGGCUAAAAGUCAGCUCUGACCUGCGGACACUGAGCUCUCCAUUAUGAAGAGAUGGAGGGAUUUCGUCUUCUCUCUGAAGGGCUAAUGGAGAAAGCAGGUAGAGUAGGAGGAUGCGCUUCAGCAGCACAAGAGGGUAAACCAGGGAAAAGACCGAAAUGGAGGUGGAGAAAGGCAAUCCGAGGAAAGAAACCAGAAACGGGGAGGCCAAGGCGACAGUCUUACCAGGCCGCCCGUCCCGAUCGGCGCAGAAGCACACAAGGCCCCGGCGGGAAGUGGUCCAGGACGGAACGUCGAGUCGAUGCAGCCUGACCCGAGCAUCCUGAGACUGAGCAUUCACAGAUUUAAAGUCUGAGUAACAGCUGUUUCACUGAACUGGAAGUUGGAACGCUGCAGUGCCAUUUUGGGUUCCUGCCACUGCACACCCUGAAAAGGCCAUGCUGGCUAUGCAUCACAGAUCUGCAUGUGCCCUGUUCCUCAUCAGCUGAAAUCUGAGGAAGAACGCCAAUGUGUCUGCACCGACUGUCCGCGGUACCUGGGCCUGUGUCCAGCCCUAAGAGCCAUGCUGCAUAUGUGUGACUCAUGAGAGAAGCACCACUUUCCCCAUGUUUGUUUAUUAUAAACUUCUAGUGAUUUCUGGCAUGCAUCAUGUGCGUGGAACCCAUUAGCCUCACAUGUAUGCAUUGCUUCUGUCAGAAGUUAGAGGGAUUUGGCUAAGUAACUUCUGCUGGGUGGAUGCAUGUGUCCCCAUGCAGGUUCAGUUUUCCAGGCCUGAACUUGGUGCUAAAGCUUGAGAAAUCGCUCUGUGGUCAGAGAUAUGUUCAACUGAGCACUUAAACCACUGACUUAUAUAGGCUACAGACGUGUGAGUGGGAGGCGCCCACCAGCAGGUUUGCAGUCCUGCAGCAAACCCCUUCCUGCGGGACGAUGCCUCCAGUUAGUCUCCAGCGGGAGCUGCCCCCCAGGGCUCUGCGUGGGCUCCCGGACCAGCGCUCAGUGUUAGAAUGUUUGGUGCCCACGUUCCAUUUCCUGAGCUUCCUGACAGGCUCCCUAACCCGUCUCCGCAGGUUGUGCCCUUGGAGACUGUGUCUCCCCGUGCAGGUAGGUAUCUCCAUGGGCAGCUGUCAGCUGCCCUCUCUGGUUUCUGCAAUGGAGGGUGGUUCCGAAGCACUCAGCUUCUUUGCCUGCAGCGUCCCCACGGGGUCACGGCUCGGGAGAAACAUCACUGUCCUGGGGUCUAGAACCAGUUCCUGUGACCUCCAUCCAGAGGGUACGAGCCAGCUUUGUGUAACAUGGAGAAGCACUGGUACCGGGCCGUUAGAUGCUGAGGCCUGUCCCCUCACAUCACCCUUUCGGAGGGGACAGAGUAUCAGAGCGUAUAACUGCCAAAAUCUUUAGGUUAAUAGAAGAUACAAUAAUCAAGUAAGAUUUAUUGUUGAUACAAACAUACUUAGUGAAAUGUACUUAAUCCUCACAGUAACUAUGUGAAUAGGUGGGGAAAGGGAUCUCGGCAAGGGAAGUAAGGUGCCUGCGGUGCCUCCCACACAGACUGUGGGGACGAGCCCCAGGUGUGUUUGGACUCCGCCUGGAUUCCCUAGCUUUGCUUUGUACAAACAAGCAAGGAAGCAAAUCACCAGAAACUAGGAGAAAUACUCCUGGUGUAUCAGCCACCUUACUUGUUCACAGAUGUUCCUCUUUCCAUAUAAUUGGCAGAUCUCAGAGCUAAUGAAUAAAGUUCUUGAUAGAAGGAAGGAGGGCUGAGAAAAGAAAUCCUAAAGGAAAACUAGUUUCAUAUUUUGUAGUCAUUUGCCUAACUUGUGAGAUUAAGUGUUAGACUUGAAGGCAGUGCAGUCAGGAGUAAAAUAUAAAUCCACGGAGAAAACUGAUGCUGGGAAAAAAGAGUCAAGAAAAGACAGUCCAACGCUGUGAAUCUAGGUGCAGGGUUCCCACGUGAAUCAAGAGCCUUUUAGCUGAACACCCAGCUGUCGAGAGCAUCACCUCAAAGACAGGCCGGUCACAAGAACCAGUCAGGCACCUGCUGUCGGGUGAAAUCUAACAAAGAUGACCAACGUUUCUGUUGCUGGAGAGUCUCAGACCGAUGACAGAGAAUAGAUGUGAAUUUUUGGUGACAAAAUUGGUUGCAGCACAUGCAGCAGAAGUUUCUCUUGAAUUGCCUGUGAAGAGCUGCUUUGAAAUGACUGUUUUCUGAGGGCCAUUGAGGCUGAGAUGGCUCUGAAAGGGCUCUUCUCCAAGGAAGUUGUAACCUGCCCCAUUCACAGAGCAUUUUAAGUGGCUUUUGCACAUGGAUCACAAACACAGUCCCCACGGCUAGAGCUCUCUUGGCACUAAGCCCAUUGCAGAAAGUGUCUAAUUUUUUUCUUUUGCUCAUCUAGCGUUAGUUUACAAUAUGGUAUGA
Molecule: long non-coding RNA, 2574 nt
Organism: Manis javanica (Malayan pangolin)
Lineage: Eukaryota; Metazoa; Chordata; Mammalia; Pholidota; Manidae
Source: RefSeq, a predicted model, not a curated record